CCCUGAUGCAGCCAUGCCGCGUGUGUGAAGAAGGCCUUCGGGUUGUAAAGCACUUUCAGCAGUGAGGAAGGUGGUGUACUUAAUACGUGCAUGGCUUGACGUUAGCUGCAGAAGAAGCACCGGCUAACUCCGUGCCAGCAGCCGCGGUAAUACGGAGGGUGCGAGCGUUAAUCGGAAUUACUGGGCGUAAAGCGCAUGCAGGCGGUUUGUUAAGUCAGAUGUGAAAGCCCGGGGCUCAACCUCGGAACCGCAUUUGAAACUGGCAGGCUAGAGUCUUGUAGAGGGGGGUAGAAUUUCAGGUGUAGCGGUGAAAUGCGUAGAGAUCUGAAGGAAUACCAGUGGCGAAGGCGGCCCCCUGGACAAAGACUGACGCUCAGAUGCGAAAGCGUGGGUAGCAAACAGGAUUAGAUACCCUGGUAGUCCACGCCGUAAACGCUGUCUACUUGGAGGUUGAGGUUUAAGACUUUGGCUUUCGACGCUAACGCAUUAAGUAGACCGCCUGGGGAGUACGGCCGCAAGGUUAAAACUCAAAUGAAUUGACGGGGGCCCGCACAAGCGGUGGAGCAUGUGGUUUAAUUCGAUGCAACGCGAAGAACCUUACCUACUCUUGACAUCCAGCGAAUCCUUUAGAGAUAGAGGAGUGCCUUCGGGAGCGCUGAGACAGGUGCUGCAUGGCUGUCGUCAGCUCGUGUUGUGAAAUGUUGGGUUAAGUCCCGCAACGAGCGCAACCCUUAUCCUUGUUUGCCAGCACGUAAAGGUGGGAACUCCAGGGAGACUGCCGGUGAUAAACCGGAGGAAGGUGGGGACGACGUCAAGUCAUCAUGGCCCUUACGAGUAGGGCUACACACGUGCUACAAUGGCAGAUACAGAGGGCAGCGAAGCUGCGAAGUGGAGCGAAUCCCUUAA
RNAcentral lists this non-coding RNA (906 nucleotides) under Salinivibrio sp. KP-1. RNAcentral describes it as "Bacterial small subunit ribosomal RNA". It matches the Rfam family "Bacterial small subunit ribosomal RNA", at positions 381 to 1279 of the family's 1533-position model. Lineage: Bacteria; Pseudomonadati; Pseudomonadota; Gammaproteobacteria; Vibrionales; Vibrionaceae. The record is from Rfam by way of RNAcentral.